UACGGAGGGGGCUAGCGUUGCUCGGAAUUACUGGGCGUAAAGGGAGCGUAGGCGGACAGUUUAGUCAGUGGUGAAAGCCCAGGGCUCAACCUUGGAAUUGCCAUUGAUACUGAUUGUCUUGAGUAUGGGAGAGGUGUGCGGAACUCCGAGUGUAGAGGUGAAAUUCGUAGAUAUUCGGAAGAACACCAGUGGCGAAGGCGGCACACUGGCCCAUUACUGACGCUGAGGCUCGAAAGCGUGGGGAGCAAACAGG
RNAcentral lists this ribosomal RNA (253 nucleotides) under uncultured bacterium. RNAcentral describes it as "partial 16S ribosomal RNA". It matches the Rfam family "Bacterial small subunit ribosomal RNA", at positions 524 to 776 of the family's 1533-position model. The record is from RNAcentral.